Acanthosepion pharaonis is the source of this 113-nucleotide non-coding RNA. NCBI's taxonomy places the organism in Eukaryota, Metazoa, Mollusca, Cephalopoda, Sepiida, Sepiidae. The record is from the annotation of a GenBank genome assembly.
UUACAGUCAUAUCACGUUGAAACACCGAUUCUCGGACGAUCAACAAAGUUAAGGAAGGUCGAGUCUAGUCAGUACCUAGAUGGGUGACCGCUUGGGAAUAUCAGGUACUGUAA